AAAUUCUGGUUUAUUUUUACAAACAGCCCAUGCAAUUCUGAUAUUAAAUCUCAAAUGAAUAAAAGUAUCAGACGACCUGAUAUACACCCACACCUGCACUGACAUACCACGUAGAAAAGAGACUAAUAAAUCCAAGACUGAGUUUUAAUAGAAGACCCUAUGUUUGACAAGUUUGUCCCAACCCCUUUUCAACAGGGCACAUGGCGCCAACACGCCAGACUGGUUAUAAGAAUAGCAGAGGGGUUAGCUGGUUUCCUGGCCCAAAAAAGUGACAAAGUACUGUUAGAAUGAGCGGAUCGCCUUAUUAGAACAAACACACAGUCUUAAGAAGCAGUAUGUGGUUAUCUCUGUGGUGUGGUCCUUAUAUAGUUAGUUAAAUUCAACAUCCUCACAAAUGCUGUUGGGUUAGAUCCGCAGUUUUUUAUGGUAAACACUAGUUAGAUCCCCAGAUGGGAUCUAUGUAUAGUAACAAUUUCUGUCUCCCCUCAGUUGAAUAGGGUAAGAAAACGGUGAGAGGGACUUUGUUAGCUGAAAAGAGUAAAAUGCAGACUUACAAUUCUAUGAUAAAAUUAAGCAUUUGUGAGGAAUCUAUUUCGGUGAUCCAUCAUUAUUGGUUGUUUGUAUUAGAAGUAUAAAGCAGGUCAAGGAGCAAGCUAGCAUUAAUCAUUUAGCAUUAAUCCCACUACUGUCAUAUCGCUUUCACCAGUGCUGAGAGUCUAUAAAAAAUAACAAAAAUAAAACCUCUCCACCAAUUCAUUUCUUUUUUUUAUGACCCAGCCUUGUUCAGUAGAGCCUCUGUUUUGAACUCUGUUUUCUUGUUUUUAGACAGUGUAUUUUAUUUACACAUUUAGAUUUCAAUGUAGGCCCUAACAAUAAACACUAAGACUAGUAUCAGGAAGAGAGAGGAACCGUUUAAUUUUUCAUUAUGAAGUACAUUUUGUUUCUGUCUUAGUACACUGUUGGAGGAAAUGUUGCCUUAGAGGUUGCUAAUAUGAAUAGAUUGUUCUUAUUAUUAUUAUUAUUAAGGGAAGACAAAUACAUGAGUCUUAAUUAGAAUCAGUGUUAGCCUGUUUAGCAUUUUUAUUCCUAGUUCUUAAUUCCUAGUUGUUACAAACUGGGCCAUGUUAUUCUCUCUUUAAAAAAAAAAAGGGAGGAAUACAUGCAAUUAAGAAAUUACAGAUACAAGAAUGGAGUUAGUUAAAUACACACCUCCCUAGUUAAGAUUCCAACUUUGUGUUGUGCGAGAUUCCAUCUUUGUUUCCCACAAAGUAGGAGUCCUGAUUCCUGAAUCACUGAUAGACCUGAUACACCUUGUCCAAUGGCACCUGUGACCCAGAUCAUUUUAGGGCAAAACCAAGCCCAGAUCUAUGAGGCAGCCAGGACACUGACGGUUCCUGCUUCACCAAAACCAAGGAGAGGUGGGGGACAGACUCAUGUACAACAGACAGUCCAAGGCUGGACCAUUACUGGCAACCACCACAGCCAGAGGAGCUGAGCUCUAUGAAGGAGAGGUAACCAUCUUGACUGACUCAUAAGAAGAGGGACACUUGACUUUGGGGUCACAGGGAGGUACAGUACAGACAGCAGUGGACACGCAUUAAACUUGGGACCCCAGAAUGGAUGACAACAAAAUCACAAGGCAUGAAACAGCAGUGUCAGUCUUUAAACCCCUGUAGUUUUUCACAUAUAGCAACUAGGAAGGUUGGAGGAAUGGAGAGGACCACGCUACACAAUGCGUCAACAUCCAUGACUACACCAGUCAGGAGCAAUUCACCAGGACAUGGGGAGAUCAGGGAGCAGAGAGGAGUUGUAUUUUCAUUUACUUCCUUUUUUUCUUGUUUUAUUAUUCAAUUUUAUUUUUGGGUCUAAGCAAAUUUACCAGCAAAGCCCUAUUGUCAAUUUUUGUUCAUUGUUAUUAUACUUCAAGGACAUUGUGGGGUUUAUUAUUUAUUUCAGCUAAUUUGAGAUGUCUGUGAAAUAGCACUUUGUAAAGCACUACCCCUAUAUCAUCAGAAGAUCAGUCUUUACUUAUCUCUUUAUUUAGAACCUAGUGGCCAGUGAACAAUAUCUUUUAAAACUGAUUUAAACAACUUAAAUAGACAGACCACCAAAUUCACUACUUUCAAUUUUUUCCAUUUUCUUAUUUCAAAUCAUAAUUGAUAGUUGUUUUUAAGUUGGUGUGACUUGUGAUCUUUUCUUUUUUGGUUUCUGACAUUUAAGUAAUGGUCCCACCAUCUCUUUAAUAGUUCAGUGUCAUUUUUAGUAUUGUUGUAGCCUGUUUGCUAGGGCCCAGAAGAAUAAUCAAACUGAUGCAGUGUUUUGUCUUGUCCUUUCUCCUAUAAGGACGGUGUGGCAGACCUCUAGCCCAAUGCAUGGAGACGAAUUGAGAACAAUCAUGUGAAGUGAAACCUCCUGCAACUUUUCCCUUUGGCACCUUUUGAGUUCCAGAAACAGAUUUCUGGCAUAACGGACAUUUGUUCUGGAAAGGCGGAAGGCCUGACCACCUUGGUAUAUCUGGAAAAUAUCUCCAGUCCUACGGUGAGACAGAACAACUCUACUUGAAAUUGAACCUUGAGCCUUCUGAGACUGUGUGUACAACAUCAAGACUGCGGCAAAGAGGCCUUUUGGGUCAAUAUCAAUAGACGAGGACAAGAAGACUGUGCCAGGAAUAAUGUUAAAAUUGGGAUGGGUAAAGAUACAUUGAAUGGCUGAAACGAAAAUUCUACCAGAAGAAAAUGGAAAGACUCCGUGGGAAAGCCCAAACUAUUCCUGCCAACCAGGAAAAGAGCGGUAAAGAUAACUGAUCUUCCUUCUGCGAAGGAAGCAACAACUGAUUGACAAUAGGCCUUAGCAGUUGGCCCCAAUGAACAACAUGACAGCUCAAUAUCUUAGGAAAGGACACAUGGAUCCAGGCUAACCUCUUCUGACCAGACCACGACCCUCCAGCACAGGAGUACAUACAUCAUGAGUCCAGCCUGGACUCAAAGAAGGACAAAACUGGCAGACAAUAAGGUGACCUCCUCCUCUGCUGCCUCUAUGAUAGCUGCAACCCUGGUCAGCCUACUGGGGAUUUCUGUGGAGUCUAGAAUCCACAGGGACUGCCAAGGGCGGGCCUGGAAAUUGACUCUGACAGCUGAACCGAACAAUCAAACUGACCAGAUGUCACCACACGUAAACGCACUUACACUGCACCCUUACACUGCACCUCAAUACAUCCACCACUCACCCACACACUCCGAGAACACAUUUUGGGGAAAGCAAUGUCCAAAGGGAGGAAGAAUAGACCUAGUAGGGACAGUUUACACUGUCUCUGGCUUCCACAGUCUCCCCAAAACAGGUCUUUGUCAAAACACCCUAUACUCAUAUAUUCUCCACACCAAUUAUUAGGGAAAAUGGAGGCUCUCUCACCUAUACAUUACAAUUACACGACAGGCUAAAUAUCCCUAACAGGUUUUACACUGUAUGCAUGUCUUUCAUCCUUUCAACUCCAAAAAGGGAGCUAAUCGGGAGCAGGUGCUCUCAUUGGUCGAGGUAACCAGGUGCGAUGGUCCUCCAUCUGUAGGGACUGGGUGGUCCAUAGGUGCAAAGGGAGGACCAACUCUUGUCCCAUCCUUGCCCCAAUUCACAACCCAAUUUAGACCAGAGGUAAUAAGCAGACAAACUAUCUCUGCUCCAUUAGUGAACCAUACUGUUUGCAGGGGGGACAGAAUAGCUCAUAUAGAAUGUCUGUUGACACCUGGGUCCCCUAAGACAACAGUAAGUCUUCUCUCUGCCUCACCAAAAUCUUCUGCCCGAAUAUGUAAAACAGCCUCAUGGGACCAGAGGAAAGCAGCCCUAGUAGGUAACAACUGCCCAGGAAAAGUAACGAUAACCCAUGUGCUUGUGAGAUAGGAAGUUAGAAUUUUAUUCUCUAUAAUUAACCCAUCCAUAUUAAUCAAUGGAACUGUGUUCUACUUCACUCUUUCUACUCCUGAAGGUGCUCGAAACGGGAGUGUCAGGUGAUACGCCCAGGCCAUCAGGUGGUAGUCUAUUCCAAUCUGUAACUGUGCUUUAUUGUAGCCAGCGGUACACACCUGACCUAUCCUGGCUGACCCAUAAGCAGACCUGGGGCACUCGAACAAUGGGUAUGCUACUGCCCAUGUACGGUGAGAUGUAGUCCUGGGAUCAAGUGCGUGCUUUAGCUUUAGAAAUAGAACAUCUUGCUAAUGUGACAGCUAGGACCAGUAAUUUGAUCUCUGAGGAGCUGGGAGCUAAACGCUUGCUUGCUCUCCAGAGCAGGGUAGCGUUAGACUAUCUAUUGGCCGCCCAGGGAGGAACCUGUGCUCUGAUAGGACAGGAAUGCUGUACAUUUGUACUUAAUUACAACUCCACUGUUUCUGACCUAGUUAAUGAAAUGAUUCAAGUUUCCCACCAGGCCCACAAUUAUAACAUCAAAGGACCAUUUUCCUGGAUGGCUGAAUUGUGGGUGCAGUAUUGCUGGGUAGUCAUUAUAGUCAUUGUGGCCAUAGGCCUGUUGGUACUCCUCCUUAUGUGCCAGUUGUCGAGUGGCCCUGAAUGUAUUGUGUUACAAUAAUAAUCAAUUUAGCAUGUAGCUAAAACACAUGCAUUAGUUUAAAACAUCCCAAUGUUUAGAAUUUAUCUACUAAUACUGAUUUACUGAUGCUCACAUAUACUGACUGCCGCACAAGUCCACGCAUAGGCAAAUAUUCACAUAGUUAACCUGGAGUUUUCACGAUGGUAUACAUCAAACCCAGAAGGGGCCUUGGCCCUGUGUGGUGAACCACAGGAUGACUAUGGUGAUGGGCCCUCCCAUUGUAGGAUCCUCCUGUUUCAGUUCUUUGUAUUUAUAUAAUUUGUAUAACCAUAAUAACUGUCUUGAUUGUCAGUGUUUGAUUCAGAUGUAACUUAUUUAAAGUAACUGUGGCCUCCUGGUCCUUAAGAUCCAGGAUGUUUUCUGAUAUAUAAUUGUUCUGAUAAAUGUAAUAAUUUUUUAUAAUUCUCUAUAUGCAUUCUUUUAAUAAAUUAAUUUUAUUGAUAUUGUCCCUGUUGGGACAAAAGGGAGGAAUUGUAAAAGAUGAAUUUAUCACCCUAUUCUUAUUUAUCAAUUUUUCUGCAAAUGAACUGUAAUAAAUGGACUGUUUUAGACUAGGCCUGAAAUUGCUUUAGACUGUUUAUGGUUGCCACAUAUAGAAGAAGAUCUAGGUCAGCAUGCCCUGUUCUUACAAGUGAUUAUGGCCACAACCAAGGCAACCAGGCCUCAAACAUAUCUUAUCUACGUCCCUGUUCAGUUGGCUCCAAGGUAAAGUUGCCUGUGUCUCCUCUAUAUUCCUCCGUUUGUGUAGGAUAGGGACUGGGGGUAGCUCAGAUCAGGAGGUCUGUUAACGCUGACCUAGAAUUAUGGUUGCCAUGGCAGUAUAGGGUUUUAUAUUGUUUUCCUAUUAGUAUGAUGACUUGUUUUGUAUGUAUCUCAUAGCUUUAGUGAUAAUAUGCUGGGGGGCUGACAAGGAGGAGUAUAAAGAGCUAGAAGCAAUAAUGUAUAAUCAGAACAAUUGUUAUGACACUACUCUGUUGGUCUCUGUACUUAAACUCUGUUUUGUGAAAGCGAUUGUUCCCGUGGAUCCACGUAAUUAAACUUGAAAUAAUCAACUGUUAUACCAG
Molecule: long non-coding RNA, 5658 nt
Organism: Esox lucius (northern pike)
Lineage: Eukaryota; Metazoa; Chordata; Actinopteri; Esociformes; Esocidae
Source: Ensembl